AGUGGCGCAAGGGUGUGUAACACGUGGGUAAUCUGCCGUGAAGUCUGGAAUAACUUGCUGAAAGGCGAGCUAAUACCGGAUGUGAACGCAAGUUCAAAGUUGGGGACCGCAAGGCCUGACGCUUCACGAUGAGCCCGCGGCCUAUCAGCUAGUUGGUGAGGUAACGGCCCACCAAGGCUAAGACGGGUAGCUGGUCUGAGAGGACGACCAGCCACACUGGAACUGAGACACGGUCCAGACACCUACGGGUGGCAGCAGUCGAGAAUUUUUCUCAAUGGGCGAAAGCCUGAAGGAGCGACGCCGCGUGGGGGAUGAAUGGCUUCGGCCCGUAAACCCCUGUCAUUUGCGAACAAAUUGUUUCACCUAACACGUGAAGCAUUGAUUGUAGCGGAAGAGGAAGGGACGGCUAACUCUGUGCCAGCAGCCGCGGUAAUACAGAGGUCCCAAGCGUUGUUCGGAUUCACUGGGCGUAAAGGGUGCGUAGGCGGCCAGGUAAGUUUGAUGUGAAAUCCCGCAGCUCAACUGCGGAACUGCAUUGAAUACUAUUUGGCUCGAGGAAUGGAGGGGAGACUGGAAUUCUCGGUGUAGCAGUGAAAUGCGUAGAUAUCGAGAGGAACACCAGUGGCGAAGGCGAGUCUCUGGACAUUUCCUGACGCUCAGGCACGAAAGCCAGGGGAGCAAACGGGAUUAGAUACCCCGGUAGUCCUGGCCUUAAACGGUGCGCAUUUGCUGUGAGCGGAAUCGACCCCGCUCGUGGCGAAGCUAACGCGUUAAAUGCGCCGCCUGGGAAGUACGGCCGCAAGGUUAAAACUCGAAGAAAUUGACGGGGGCCCGCACAAGCGGUGGAGUAUGUGGCUUAAUUCGA
RNAcentral lists this ribosomal RNA (865 nucleotides) under uncultured bacterium. Its description in RNAcentral is "bacterial SSU rRNA". It matches the Rfam family "Bacterial small subunit ribosomal RNA", at positions 94 to 954 of the family's 1533-position model. The record is from RNAcentral.